GGCGAACUCUGAACUGGUGCCCAAGGAGACAGUGUCGGAGGAGACAGUGCCGGCUGAGAACCGGAGGAAGACAGGAGCCUCUCUGGAUUUGGAGGCUUGCUAACACAACAACCUCCUUCAACCUUCUCCACCUGAUCAUAACGCAUGAUACUCACAAUCAACACUAAAAUCACUGCCUUUCUCAUUUCUGUAAGACUUAAAUUUUUU
RNAcentral lists this long non-coding RNA (207 nucleotides) under Daucus carota (carrot). RNAcentral describes it as "long non-coding RNA (DCAR_LNC002106)". The record is from RNAcentral. Lineage: Eukaryota; Viridiplantae; Streptophyta; Magnoliopsida; Apiales; Apiaceae.